CAGCCGCCGCGGUAAUACGUAGGGGGCGAGCGUUACCCGGAUUCACUGGGCGUAAAGGGGGUGUAGGCGGCUUGGCAAGUCGGGUGUGAAAUCCCACGGCUCAACCGUGGAAUUGCGCCGAAACUGCCAAGCUUGGGGCCGGUAGAGGGAGACGGAACUGCCGGUGUAGGGGUGAAAUCCGUAGAUAUCGGCAGGAACGCCGGUGGGGAAGCCGGCCUCCUGGGCCGCGCCCGACGCUGAGGCCCGAAAGCUAGGGGAGCAAACCGGAUUAGAUACCCGGGUAGUCCUAGCCGUAAACGAUGCCCACUAGGUGUGGGGGAGUAUUUCCUCCGUGCUGUAGCUAACGCGUUAAGUGGGCCGCCUGGGGAGUACGCCCGCAAGGGUGAAACUUAAAGGAAUUGGCGGG
This 406-nucleotide ribosomal RNA is filed under the name uncultured microorganism. Its description in RNAcentral is "bacterial SSU rRNA". It matches the Rfam family "Bacterial small subunit ribosomal RNA", at positions 509 to 917 of the family's 1533-position model. The record is from RNAcentral.